AUAUGGUCCAGUAUGUCAGAAAAAUCCAGUUCACCUUCGUAGGCUUUUUCACCUCAUCUUAUCAAAAGCAAAAAAAUCAAAUGUGUUUCAUAGGAUUUGCUAUAUACGUGUACCCCUUUGUAGGCUUUUUCAGUUCAAAUUUUGCUAGCAAAAAUAGAUUUGUAGCAGUUCAACAUAAAAAGUGAAACCAGUUAGUUGAUGGGAAAUAAUUCAAUUAUAUAUGUAUACACUGCAGUAGGAGUUCGGUACAAAAAAAAUUAGCGGUUUGUUAAACAAAAAUAGAAACACAUAUUGUGGUUUAGGGCCUAGACUACAAACACUUCAGUAGCUAAAAAAUGUUCAAAAUAUAGUUACAAUAGUAGUUCGGAGUUCAAAUAUAGUUACCGUCAACGAAUUGGAAUUUUUCAGAUGUUGAGAGGGAAAAAUGCACUGCUUAGUUCAGAAAUAGCUGGAAAAAAAAACUAUAGCUUUCUGUAUGCAUGUUUUAUGUUCUUGCAACAAGUGACACCAAACCUGUUUGAUGGAAUGUUCAGAAGGAAUGAUCACACACAAGUGACACGCUCAGUUCAAAAAUCUUAUUUUAGAUCAGUGCAAUUCUUAUGAAGCUCUAAUGGACCUUAUGAUUGCAGCAGAGCUGGACUUCCUCGUAUUCAAGUGCACGCAAGGAGUCUACAAGUGCAGGAAUGGUGGGCUCCCAGCCUAUCGAGACCUAAACAUUCGAGUUCAAUUUAGAAGUAUUUACAAUUGUUCAGACCUGAGUUUACAACGGAAAACAUUUGGAAGUUUAGCGAGCGAAAAUA
This is a non-coding RNA of Triticum urartu, 800 nucleotides long. NCBI's taxonomy places the organism in Eukaryota, Viridiplantae, Streptophyta, Magnoliopsida, Poales, Poaceae. The record is from RefSeq and is a predicted model, not a curated record.